GACGAACGCUGGCGGCGUGCCUAAUACAUGCAAGUCGAACGAAGCUGUUUUAACUGGUGCUUGCACCGACUUAAACAACUGAGUGGCGAACGGGUGAGUAACACGUGGGUAACCUGCCCCAAAGCGGGGGAUAACAUUUGGAAACAGAUGCUAAUACCGCAUAAUCACAGAAACCACAUGGUUUCUGUGUCAAAGAUGGUUUCGGCUAUCACUUUGGGAUGGACCCGCGGCGUAUUAGCUAGUUGGUAAGGUAAUGGCUUACCAAGGCAAUGAUACGUAGCCGAACUGAGAGGUUGAUCGGCCACAUUGGGACUGAGACACGGCCCAAACUCCUACGGGAGGCAGCAGUAGGGAAUCUUCCACAAUGGACGAAAGUCUGAUGGAGCAACGCCGCGUGAGUGAAGAAGGUUUUCGGAUCGUAAAACUCUGUUGUCAGAGAAGAACGUGUGCGAGAGUAACUGUUCGUGCAGUGACGGUACUAUAUGAAUAAGCACCGGCUAACUCCGUGCCAGCCGCCGCAGUAA
This 524-nucleotide ribosomal RNA is filed under the name uncultured bacterium. Its description in RNAcentral is "partial 16S ribosomal RNA". It matches the Rfam family "Bacterial small subunit ribosomal RNA", at positions 28 to 523 of the family's 1533-position model. The record is from RNAcentral.